Molecule: non-coding RNA, 886 nt
Organism: Equus caballus (horse)
Lineage: Eukaryota; Metazoa; Chordata; Mammalia; Perissodactyla; Equidae
Source: RefSeq, a predicted model, not a curated record
GCAAACCCAGCCACUGAAGCAGAGUAUGCCGAACCUAACCACUAGGCCAUGAAACCAGCCCAGGAGAGACAGUAAGUCCUGUUCUGGGCAAGGAAGCCUUGUUUCUUCACUGAACCCCAGCAUCGGGCACGGAGCUGGAAUGCAGCAGGUUCCCAGUCAACACGGGGGAACGGGAAGGAAAACCCUGCCCUGAGAGGCUACGAUCUACUUAACAAGGAGAGUGGCCAGUGCCUAAGAGGCAACAGGAGUUCAAAGGAGAAGAAACAACUCCUGGCUUGGUUUCCUGAAGGAGGAACAUUUGCGGAGACCUUGAGAAACGCAGACAUGCCAACACAGUCUUUUCAGUUGGGUUUAGAAGCAGUGUGAAGAAGAGGCAGGAAAAUUCAGGGCAGGUCCCACAAACUGCUCAGUGUGUCUGAAGCGUGGGCUCAUGAAGGGCAGAGCAGAUGAGACAACCAUGCCACCCACAACCAUCAUGCGUGGGGAAGGGAUCCUGGGUUUUGCAGAACAUCAAAAAAAGAAAUUCUAGAACUUUACAGCCCUUUUAUAAUUCCACUGCAAGAAACCUUUCCUUAUGUCAAUCUUACAUUAUUUCUAUUUUAAUAUUAGUCUUUCCCUGUUGCUUUGCUCUCAGAGGACUAAGAUCCCCUAAUCACGAUCCUCUGUAAAAGGAGGCUUUGCAGCUUUAAAAAAUCAUUCUGAAGUAUCGUAAAACUGUAUAUUAUAUAAGAAAGGAAGUUUCUUCACAGACCAACAGUGUAUGCUAUGUGAAAACCUGAGACCAGUCCCCUGAUCACCUUUGUGGUCAGAUGCUACACAGUUGCUUUCUCAUUACACCAAAUUAUUUCUAGUUUUCAGGCUGGGAUAAUAAAUCACGUAAAUUUUA